Thamnophis sirtalis is the source of this 213-nucleotide non-coding RNA. The record is from RefSeq and is a predicted model, not a curated record. NCBI's taxonomy places the organism in Eukaryota, Metazoa, Chordata, Lepidosauria, Squamata, Natricidae.
AUUGAUUUUUAAUAAUCUCUUUUCUAAAGAUUGUCCUGAGGGGGAGGGGAUCCUGUCUCGUGCUGUGAAUAACAGCUGCGAAGUUCAGGUCGGAGUUGAAUGACUCAGCUUUGGGUCGAUCCUCCCCCUCCGUCCACAGCUCACAAAAAAAAAAAAACUGUGAACUUCAAAGAAGAUUCUUACCAGCUGAGAUUCCUCACUGCUUUUUUCUUG